AUUGAACGCUGGCGGCAGGCCUAACACAUGCAAGUCGAACGGUAACAGGAAACAGCUUGCUGUUUCGCUGACGAGUGGCGGACGGGUGAGUAAUGUCUGGGAAACUGCCUGAUGGAGGGGGAUAACUACUGGAAACAGUAGCUAAUACCGCAUAACGUCGCAAGCACAAAGAGGGGGACCUUCGGGCCGCUUGCCAUCGGAUGUGCCCAGAUGGGAUUAGCUAGUAGGUGGGGUAACGGCUCACCUAGGCGACGAUCCCUAGCUGGUCUGAGAGGAUGACCAGCCACACGGGAGCUGAGACACGGUCCAGACUCCUACGGGAGGCAGCAGUGGGGAAUAUUGCACAAUGGGCGCAAGCCUGAUGCAGCCAUGCCGAGUGUAUGAAGAAGGCCUUCGGGUUGUAAAGUACUUUCAGCGGGGAGGAAGGGAGUAAAGUUAAUACCUUUACUCAUUGACGUUACCCGCAAAAGAAGCACCGGCUAACUCCGUG
RNAcentral lists this ribosomal RNA (490 nucleotides) under uncultured bacterium. RNAcentral's name for it is "partial 16S ribosomal RNA". It matches the Rfam family "Bacterial small subunit ribosomal RNA", at positions 30 to 507 of the family's 1533-position model. The record is from RNAcentral.